CACACACACACACACACACACACACACACACACACACACACACACACACAAAAAAAAAACAAUAUACAGCAAUAGAGGCUAUGAAAAAACCUUAAUGUGGUGAGUAAACUUGCAGUGGGUCCAGUAAUAUUUAAAUAUCAGCAGUAGAUAUAUGUUCAUAAAAGCUGCGCUAAUCUGAAAAUUUAAAAAAAAAAAAAAAAAAAAAAAAAGAACUUAUAGAGGUGUUUGUUUGGCGUUUACUAUACAAGCUCACCUGUUUUUAAUCCUCUUUUGCCGAUUCUGGACAAUUUUAAGGAGGAAAUAACCUUCGUCCGUCUUCCUGGUAGCUCUUCUUCGCGGCUUCCGGGAUUUAGCGACUCCUCCUGGCAGCCGUUAGCCGUUAGCUUCGAACCGCGCAGCUGGGGCUAAAAGAGGGACGUUUUCCUCGCCGGUGGAGUGAGGUGGAGACCGGACUAACGCCUUACUACCAUCCGAGACACAUUCCAGAUUACCACAGCUUCACCCCACACCGGAUAACCUGAGGUAUUUGGAGACUAGUCAUCACUGUCGAGCUAUAAGGAAUUCAGAUUCUGAAGGACGCCGUUGAGAGCUGCUGGGGCAUUGCCGAAAUCUAUUCCCCUCCCGCUAAGGCAGCUGUUUAGAGGCUCUCAUUAAGCAGAGAGGACUGUAAGAAAAUCAGCAUGAAGAGGAGGGCGACCACAUCCCCCAGCAACACCCUGCACCCGAUCUGAGAUGCGGCAAGUAGUGACACCCAACUCUGGUCCCACCCAGUAACUGUCUCUUUGUUGAGGAUGGCGCAGACUGGAUUCAGGUGCUGAGAAGAGGUGAAUGAAAUCUGGAAAAUGAGAGACUACGUAGAUGGUGGAAGCAGAGGAGAAAGCUGCAGAGAAAGCACUGUUAAAGGCAGGCUUAUGUCUGUGGUCCACAUCCGGUUGGCUCCCUCUGCUGGGGAUGACCUCAACCUGCUGCCACAGAAGAAAAGUGGAAAGAUGAGACGUUCUCUGUGUAAUGGCCAUGCCGGGAAAAGCACUGACAUGCAGCAACAUCAAAAUGUUGGUGAGUAAACAAAUAUUCUCCAAAUAUUUCUGUGUUCUGGGGUUUAUCUGCUGCAGCUUCAGAUGCCAAAAGUCGAUCCAAAUCUUAACUCAACUAUUUCAAUGCUGCUAAAGCAUGAAAAAAAAAAAAACUCAGUAAGUCUCUAAGCCACCACCCCUCCCUGCUGCCUGUCGCUGGCUAUUUCUGUGACUCUUGUAUGAAACGCUUCUGACGUUAAACACCUGUUAACUUUUAUGUCUUGUGAGAGGAGUGGCUGAAUGGGAGCGCAUUAUGUUCAGUGCCAGUCGGCCUGGCCAAAUCCCCAGUAGAGGAAAGACCACUCCCAGUGCAGAGAGGCAGCAGCAGGGUGAGUGAGCCCCCUCAC
Long non-coding RNA from Amphiprion ocellaris (clown anemonefish), 1420 nucleotides. RefSeq lists it as uncharacterized. The transcript is spliced from 7 exons. The record is from RefSeq and is a predicted model, not a curated record. Lineage: Eukaryota; Metazoa; Chordata; Actinopteri; Pomacentridae.